Molecule: unclassified non-coding RNA, 600 nt
Filed under: Hevea brasiliensis (rubber tree)
Lineage: Eukaryota; Viridiplantae; Streptophyta; Magnoliopsida; Malpighiales; Euphorbiaceae
Source: RNAcentral
UACAGUUGCUUGACUUGAUUCAAAAAAGGAUAUUGGGGUCACCAGUAGAGGCCGUACAUUUAGGGACUAGUUAACUCUUGCAAAUGUUUGUUAAGUAUAUGAAAAUUUAGCUGAAUCAAACUCUGAAUCUAGGAGUUGUUGAGUUCUUAAUAUAUGUUUUGGGUAUGAAAAGACCAGUUUUAUUUGUUGAAUGACACAUUUUGGGAGCUUUCUACUUGUACUUGUUUCCUAGGGGGCAGCUGAGUUUGAAGACAAUAAUUAUAUCUUGUACCCUACCUAUUUUGUAGCUGACCAAAAAGAAAAAUAGCUAACACUAUCAAGUAAACUUUACUGGGUAAGUGGAGGUGGCCUUAUUGAGCCAUGAUCUUUCUGUGAUCUUAUUGAGACACCUGUUUGUGAGCCCAUGUUAUUGCGCUUCACAAUUAUUGGCCAUUUGAAGGCUUAAUCAGAGUCUAGCUUAAGGCUAUGAUAGGGAAGGUGGAAAAUCAGAAGAAAGCAAGGGGAAAUAAAAUAGAGCUAGUUUUCACUUUUCUCUUGCAUGUGAAAGAAGGGAAAGUGGGGAAUAUGGAAAGUGUUGGGACUGUGGGUGGGAAAUAAAUG